UACGUAGGGCGCGAGCGUUAUCCGGAAUUAUUGGGCGUAAAGAGCUCGUAGGCGGUUUGUCGCGUCUGCCGUGAAAGUCCGGGGCUCAACUCCGGAUCUGCGGUGGGUACGGGCAGACUAGAGUGAUGUAGGGGAGACUGGAAUUCCUGGUGUAGCGGUGAAAUGCGCAGAUAUCAGGAGGAACACCGAUGGCGAAGGCAGGUCUCUGGGCAUUAACUGACGCUGAGGAGCGAAAGCAUGGGGAGCGAACAGG
RNAcentral lists this ribosomal RNA (253 nucleotides) under uncultured bacterium. RNAcentral describes it as "partial 16S ribosomal RNA". It matches the Rfam family "Bacterial small subunit ribosomal RNA", at positions 524 to 776 of the family's 1533-position model. The record is from RNAcentral.